UACGUAGGGAGCAAGCGUUGUCCGGAAUCAUUGGGCGUAAAGCGCGCGUAGGCGGCCCGAUAAGUCCGCUGUGAAAGUCAGCGGCUCAACUGUUGGAUGCCGGUGGAUACUGUCGGGCUAGAGUACGGAAGAGGCAAGUGGAAUUCCUGGUGUAGCGGUGGAAUGCGCAGGUAUCAGGAGGAACACCUAUAGCGAAGGCAGCUUGCUGGGACGUUACUGACGCUAAGGCGCGAAAGCGUGGGGAGCGAACAGG
This 253-nucleotide ribosomal RNA is filed under the name uncultured bacterium. Its description in RNAcentral is "partial 16S ribosomal RNA". It matches the Rfam family "Bacterial small subunit ribosomal RNA", at positions 524 to 776 of the family's 1533-position model. The record is from RNAcentral.